Cyprinus carpio carpio is the source of this 869-nucleotide long non-coding RNA. NCBI's taxonomy places the organism in Eukaryota, Metazoa, Chordata, Actinopteri, Cypriniformes, Cyprinidae. The record is from Ensembl.
CGCUUGUCAAAGGAAAUGGAGGGAAACUACAGAGAGAAAUUACAAUUAUGAAACAGCAGGAUGAGUGUGACAGGUCUAUAAUAUCCUUCCCUCUUUCUUUUCCUUCUCUCAUCUCAUUUUCUCUCUACCCCUUUCUCACAGAAUGAUGUCAAAAGCAAGCUUUAGGAACAAUGAAAAAGAGGAGAGUUUUACGGAAAGCAAUUACACUCAAAAUGGCUGAAAGUUGCUGGAAAAUGCCAACAGACAGACCAAUUUAUACCUACUCACAGUCACCAGCACAUGGGUCAGCCAGAACUCUCCACAUAGAAAAGUACAUACGGACCUACCACAGAGAGACCAAAAGAGAUGGAGAGGGUGGCAACGAAGAACCGGUUGGAGAACAAGGGUCACUGAGGGGGUCACAGAAGUACUUGAGAUUCCUGCCUCACUGUUUCCCACCCUACUGUUCAUCCUUUAUUUUUCAUCAAGCACAACAUCAGGCAUUAACUCUCUAACCCACAAACUUUUAAAUGCACUGUUUUGCUGCUGUAAAGACAAAAGGAGAUUUACUUGGCUGUGUGACUGAGUAGAAAAUAUAGGAAAAGAGAAACUUUUUGCCUUAGAUAAGCACUUUCUCACUUCCUCUCUGUUUUUUUUUUUUUUUAAUUCACAAUAAAUGAGAACAGAACUACUGUGUAUAUAUCAUGAUUAUAAACACAGGUAAAGGAUAUGACUCCUUAAGACAGGUCGAAACAAAGAGUGGGGAUUUAUUUUCAAAUAUUGUGCUAUUUUAGUUCCCAAAACACCACCAAUAUUCUCAUUUUAAAGAUCAACUAAUAGUUAUGUUAAAGAAUAAUAUAAAUGGACCAUUAUUCAGUGUUUUUCAGGGA